RNAcentral lists this ribosomal RNA (258 nucleotides) under uncultured Atopobium sp. Its description in RNAcentral is "partial 16S ribosomal RNA". It matches the Rfam family "Bacterial small subunit ribosomal RNA", at positions 97 to 354 of the family's 1533-position model. The record is from RNAcentral. Lineage: Bacteria; Bacillati; Actinomycetota; Coriobacteriia; Coriobacteriales; Atopobiaceae.
GGCGAACGGCUGAGUAACACGUGGGCAACCUGCCCUUUGCACUGGGAUAGCCUCGGGAAACCGAGGUUAAUACCGGAUACUCCAUAUUUGUCGCAUGGCGAAUAUGGGAAGCUCCGGCGGCAAAGGAUGGGCCCGCGGCCUGUUAGCUAGUUGGUGGGGUAGUGGCCUACCAAGGCAAUGAUGGGUAGCCGGGUUGAGAGACCGACCGGCCAGAUUGGGACUGAGACACGGCCCAGACUCCUACGGGAGGCAGCAGGC